Molecule: microRNA precursor, 86 nt
Filed under: Podarcis lilfordi (Lilford's wall lizard)
Lineage: Eukaryota; Metazoa; Chordata; Lepidosauria; Squamata; Lacertidae
Source: RNAcentral
AGAUGUUUUGGGACUACAAUUCCUAUCAUCCCUGACCACUGCUCCUGUUAGCUAGGGGUGAUGGGAGUUGUAGUCCCAAAACACCU